RNAcentral lists this long non-coding RNA (317 nucleotides) under Neogobius melanostomus (round goby). Its description in RNAcentral is "lncRNA (ENSNMLG00000023255.1)". Lineage: Eukaryota; Metazoa; Chordata; Actinopteri; Gobiiformes; Gobiidae. The record is from RNAcentral.
CGUGUCAAUCAUCUGCAACCAUAGCAACCACGUCAGCUGGAGAAAAGACACCAAAGAGAAACAACAAGUGUGUCCAUUUGGUGCUGAAGAAGUGUGCGCCCAAGAGACAGAGUCUGAGAGGAGCUGGUGUUUGGUGAAGACUGUGGUGUUCUCUGUGGGGCUGCUGCUCAUGGUGUCCUCCGUCAUCACUGUCCAUGUGCUGGACUGCACCAGGAAGAAAAACAACUGAACUACUGCAGUGACACGUCUUUACCACAGGGGGGCAGUAACAAACUCCUCUAUCUGCUGCACUUCCUCUUUCAGGUUCAAUAUUCUCA